UACAAGGAUUCCCCUAGUAACGGCGAGUGAAGCGGGAAAAGCUCAAAUUUGAAAUCUGGCGGUCUACGGCCGUCCGAGUUGUAGUCUAGAGAGGUGUCUUCCGYGCCGGACCGUGUACAAGUCCCUUGGGAUAGGGCGUCAUAGAGGGUGAGAAUCCCGUCCAUGACACGGACUGCCGGUGCUCUGUGAUGCGCCUUCAAAGAGUCGAGUUGUUUGGGAAUGCAGCUCAAAAUGGGUGGUAAAUUCCAUCUAAAGCUAAAUACAGGCGAGAGACCGAUAGCGAACAAGUACCGUGAGGGAAAGAUGAAAAGCACUUUGGAAAGAGAGUUAAACAGUACGUGAAAUUGUUGAAAGGGAAACGCUUGGAGUCAGUCGCGUCCGCCGGGACUCAGCCGGGCUUUUGCUUGGUGCACUUCUCGGUGGAUGGGCCAGCAUCGAUUUUGGUUGCCGGACAAGGGCAAGGGGAAUGUGGCACCUUCGGGUGUGUUAUAGCCCCUUGUNGUAUACGGUGGCUGGGAUCGAGGUUUGCAGCACGCCUUAGCGGCCGGGGUUCGCCCACGCCACGUGCUUAGGAUGCUGGCGUAAUGGCUUUAAACGACCCGUCUUGAAACACGGACCAAGGAGUCUAACAUGCUCGCGAGUGUUCGGGUGGAAAACCCGUCCGCGUAAUGAAAGUGAUAAGUUGGGACCCUUCGCUGGGGCACCGACGCCCGAUCCAGACCUUCUGUGACGGAUUUGAGGUAGAGCGCGUAUGUUGGGACCCGAAAGAUGGUGAACUAUGCCUGAAUAGGGCGAAGCCAGAGGAAACUCUGGUGGAGGCUCGUAGCGAUUCUGACGUGCAAUCGAUCGUCAAUUUGGGUAUAGGGGCGAAAGACUAAUCGAACCAUCUAGUAGCUGGUUCCUGCGAAGUUUU
RNAcentral lists this ribosomal RNA (913 nucleotides) under Protomerulius commotus. RNAcentral describes it as "partial large subunit ribosomal RNA". It matches the Rfam family "Eukaryotic large subunit ribosomal RNA", at positions 67 to 970 of the family's 3401-position model. The record is from RNAcentral. Lineage: Eukaryota; Fungi; Basidiomycota; Agaricomycetes; Auriculariales; Hyaloriaceae.